UAUGUGAUCGUCUCUCGCAUAUCAAUAAGCGGAGGAAAAGAAACUAACAAGGAUUCCCCUAGUAACGGCGAGUGAAGCGGGAAGAGCUCAAAUUUGAAAUCUUAAAGGGUUUCCCUUUACGAAUUGUAGUUUAAAGAAGUGUUUUCUGUUGAGGUUUUGGUAAAAGUUCUUUGGAAUAGGACAUCAUAGAGGGUGAGAAUCCCGUAUUUGACCUUUACUUUCAACUCUGUGAUACACUUUCAAAGAGUCGGAUUGUUUGGGAAUGCAGUCCAAAAUGGGUGGUAAAUUUCAUCUAAAGCUAAAUAUUGGCGAGAGACCGAUAGGCGAACAAGUACCGUGAGGGAAAGAUGAAAAGAACUUUGAAAAGAGAGUUAAACAGUACGUGAAAUUGUCAAAAGGGAAGCGUUUGACACCAGUGUUGUUUUUCUGAAAAUCAAUUAAAGAACUGUUUAUGCUAAGUUGUUUAGACUUUAUCAGCUAUCUGUUUAGUUUUAGGCUUUUCUUUAAUGCACUUUUCAGUUAACAAGUCAACAUCAAUUUCUUUUGCUGUAAAAAAGCUUGAGGAAGGUGGCUUGAGAUUCGUCUUAAGUGUUUAUAGCCUCUUGCCUAUGCAGUCGGAGAGAUUGAGGUCUGCAGCGUAGAUCCUUCGGGGCUAAAUGCAUUUGUGCUAAGUUAUAGCAUUUUAUAGACAACUUGUUGACUAUGAUUUGUCUUGUAGCUUACUCGCUUAUGUUAUUUUACCUACGCUUAGGAUGUUGAUCUACAGAGCGAGAGU
This 775-nucleotide ribosomal RNA is filed under the name uncultured Neocallimastigales. RNAcentral's name for it is "partial large subunit ribosomal RNA". It matches the Rfam family "Eukaryotic large subunit ribosomal RNA", at positions 24 to 634 of the family's 3401-position model. Lineage: Eukaryota; Fungi; Neocallimastigomycota; Neocallimastigomycetes; Neocallimastigales. The record is from RNAcentral.